GGGUCAGUAGGUUGGUCGUGCCACCGGUACGUACUGGUCUCACUGAUUCCUCCUUCCUGAAGAACCGUAAUGCCAUUAAUUUGGUGUUGCGGGGAGACAGGACUGUUACUUUGAAAAAAUUAGAGUGUUUAAAGCAAGCUAACGCUUGAAUACAUUAGCAUGGAAUAAUGAAAUAGGACGAUCGAUCCUAUUUUGUUGGUUUCUAGGAUUGACGUG
RNAcentral lists this ribosomal RNA (216 nucleotides) under Glomeromycotina sp. Its description in RNAcentral is "partial small subunit ribosomal RNA". The stretch from base 40 to 216 matches the Rfam family "Eukaryotic small subunit ribosomal RNA", at positions 686 to 864 of the family's 1831-position model. Lineage: Eukaryota; Fungi; Glomeromycota. The record is from RNAcentral.